AGGGUUUGAUCCUGGCUCAGGACGAACGCUGGCGGCAUGCCUAACACAUGCAAGUCGAACGAGAAAGUUCCUUCGGGAGCAAUUAAAGUGGCGCACGGGUGAGUAACGCGUAGACAAUCUGCCCUUCAGUCUGGGACAACUUUUCGAAAGGAGAGCUAAUACCGGAUAACAAUGCAUGACACAAGUUGUAUAUUUGAAAGCUUUAUGUGCUGAAGGAGGGGUCUGCGUCCCAUUAGCUAGUUGGUAAGGUAAAGGCUUACCAAGGCAACGAUGGGUAGCGGGUUUGAGAGGACGAUCCGCCACACUGGAACUGAGACACGGUCCAGACUCCUACGGGAGGCAGCAGUGGGGAAUAUUGCUACNAAUGGAGGCAACUCUGAUGCAGCUAAUGUCGCGUGAGUGAAGAAGGCCCUUGGGUCGUAAAGCUCUUUUAUGGGGGAAGAUGAUGACGGUACCCCAAGAAUAAGCACCGGCUAACUAUGUGCCAGCAGCCGCGGUAAUACAUAGGGUGCGAGCGUUGUUCG
RNAcentral lists this ribosomal RNA (524 nucleotides) under uncultured bacterium. Its description in RNAcentral is "bacterial SSU rRNA". It matches the Rfam family "Bacterial small subunit ribosomal RNA", at positions 8 to 547 of the family's 1533-position model. The record is from RNAcentral.